ACGUAGGUGGCGAGCGUUACUCGGAAUUACUAGGCGUAAAGCGUGUGUAGGCGGGAGCUUAAGUCUGCUGUUAAAUCUCAUGGCCCAACCAUGAAAUGCCGGCGGAUACUGGGCUUCUUGAAUUCGGUAGGGGAAACUGGAAUUCCAGGUGUAGCGGUGAAAUGCGUAGAUAUCUGGAAGAACGCCAAAGGCGAAAGCAGGUUUCUGGGCCGCAAUUGACGCUGAGACACGAAAGCUAGGGGAGCAAACAG
Molecule: ribosomal RNA, 251 nt
Filed under: uncultured prokaryote
Description: partial 16S rRNA
Rfam family: Bacterial small subunit ribosomal RNA
Source: RNAcentral